GGCGCUGUAGCUCAGUUGGAAGAGCGCGGAUCCUAUAAGUCCUGGGUCGCGGGUUCGAGUCCCGCCAGCGCUA
Molecule: transfer RNA, 73 nt
Filed under: Streptomyces pilosus
Lineage: Bacteria; Bacillati; Actinomycetota; Actinomycetes; Kitasatosporales; Streptomycetaceae
Also listed under: 17 other names
Description: tRNA-Ile
Rfam family: tRNA
About the family: Transfer RNA (tRNA) molecules are approximately 80 nucleotides in length.
Source: RNAcentral